UGGGGAAUCUUGCGCAAUGGGGGAAACCCUGACGCAGCAACGCCGCGUGGGUGAUGAAGGCCUUCGGGUCGUAAAGCCCUGUCAGGUGGGAAGAAACUUGUGGAUGUUAAUACCGUCCACACUUGACGAUACCACCGGAGGAAGCACCGGCUAACUCCGUGCCAGCAGCCGCGGUAAUACGGAGGGUGCAAGCGUUGUUCGGAAUUAUUGGGCGUAAAGCGCGUGUAGGUGGUCAGGUAAGUCAGAUGUGAAAGCCUUCUGCUUAACAGAAGAAGUGCAUUUGAAACUGCUUGGCUAGAGUACGGGAGAGGAGAGUGGAAUUCCCGGUGUAGAGGUGAAAUUCGUAGAUAUCGGGAGGAACACCAGUGGCGAAGGCGGCUCUUUGGUCCGAUACUGACGCUGAGACGCGAAAGCGUGGGGAGCAAACAGGAUUAGAUACCCUGGUAGUCCACGCCGUAAACGAUGGGCACUAGGUGUAGGAGGUAUUGACCCCUUCUGUGCCGAAGCUAACGCAUUAAGUGCCCCGCCUGGGGAGUACGGCCGCAAGGCUA
Molecule: ribosomal RNA, 551 nt
Filed under: uncultured bacterium
Lineage: Bacteria
Description: bacterial SSU rRNA
Rfam family: Bacterial small subunit ribosomal RNA
Source: RNAcentral